UACGGAAGGCAGCAGUGGGGAAUAUUGCACAAUGGGCGCAAGCCUGAUGCAGCCAUGCCGCGUGUAUGAAAAAGGCCUUCGGGUUGUAAAGUACUUUCAGUCGUGAGGAAGGUGUUAAGGUUAAUAACCUUAGCAAUUGACGUUAGCGACAGAAGAAGCACCGGCUAACUCCGUGCCAGCAGCCGCGGUAAUACGGAGGGUGCGAGCGUUAAUCGGAAUUACUGGGCGUAAAGGGCACGCAGGCGGUUAAUUAAGUUGGAUGUGAAUCCCCGGGCUUAACCUGGGAAUGGCAUUCAAGACUGGUUAGCUAGAGUCUUGUAGAGGGGGUAGAAUUCCAUGUGUAGCGGUGAAAUGCGUAGAGAUGUGGAGGAAUACCGGUGGCGAAGGCGGCCCCUGGACGAAAGACUGACGCUCAUGUGCGAAAGCGUGGGGAGCAAACGAGGGAUUAGAUACC
Molecule: ribosomal RNA, 454 nt
Filed under: uncultured bacterium
Lineage: Bacteria
Description: bacterial SSU rRNA
Rfam family: Bacterial small subunit ribosomal RNA
Source: RNAcentral